Long non-coding RNA from Schistocerca serialis cubense, 500 nucleotides. RefSeq lists it as uncharacterized. The record is from RefSeq and is a predicted model, not a curated record. Lineage: Eukaryota; Metazoa; Arthropoda; Insecta; Orthoptera; Acrididae. The transcript has 3 exons.
CACAAAUCGAUCCAGUUGUUUCCAGUUAUGUGUGUGGAUUAGUUUGCAUUUCACAACUAAAGCUGGCAUGUCGUAGGAAUCUGAAAUAAAUUCAUAGGAGUCUCUUUCUGUGAGGGACUCACCCGCGUCAGAAUCUUAAAAAACCAUCAGACAACCUGGAGACUACCCUUGGCCGUUUAUGUCUGCAAGGAUUAUUACAUGCAAAAGAAGGAAUAUGGAAGGCGACGUCUAUCUAUUGAAAGGAUCCGUACAUUAUCAGCCAUGCAGAAGUGAAUAACUCGUACAAUUGUAGCCUGCAGUAUACGGCUGCAUGGUAGCUGAAACUGACAUGUUCACGGGGAUAGCGUCCCGACGGGGUUGAUAGUGGCCCUUUUUACUACGGUACAUCCGGCUAUAUUCCUUCAGUCCAUUUGUCUCGCUUAUAUAGUUACUACGUUUGUCGAGUGGAAUUAGGGCUUACUGUAAUCACCUUAUAUGUUGAAGUAUCUCUCUUGCCUGGG